Molecule: long non-coding RNA, 2328 nt
Filed under: Homo sapiens (human)
Lineage: Eukaryota; Metazoa; Chordata; Mammalia; Primates; Hominidae
Description: LHRI_LNC1995.4
Source: RNAcentral
UUCCUCUUGCUGAACUCCUAGACCCUGAAUAUAAGACUACUGGCUGGCCCAUGGAGAGCAAACGUUUUCCUCUGCUGCGAUGCUGUCUUUGACAUUGCCCUGGUGCCUGCUUCCGACCCCCAGGAGAAAGUGCUGUAUAAAGAGGUGAGAGACCUGGGGUUUCCCUCUGUCUCUGUGUAACUGAACUCAUGUCUUCCCUCCCUAGCCUCAGUUGUCCUGUCGGUUUAGUGGGAGACUUUGGCUAGUUAUUUCUUUUUCUAUUAUUUUUUUUUGAGACAGCAUCUCACUCUCACCCAGGCUGGAGUGUAGUGAUGAGAUCUCGGCUCACUACAACCUCUGCCUCCUGGGCUCAGGUGAUCCUCCUGCCUCAGCCUCUUGAGUAGCUGGGACCACAGGUGUGUGCCACCACACCUAGCUAAUUUUUGUAUUUUUAGAGGAGAUGGGGUUUUUUUUUUUUUUUUUUUUUUUUUUUUUAGACUGAGUUUUGCUCUUGUUGCGCAGGCUGGAGUGUAGUGGUGUGAUCUCCGCUUACUGCAACCUUUGCCUCCCAGGUUCAAGCAAUUCUCCUGCCUCAGCCUCCAAAUAGCUGGGAUUACAGGCACCUACCACCAUGCCCAGCCAAUUUUUGUAUUUUUAGCAGAGACGGGGUUUCACCAUGUUGUCCAGGCUAGUCUCAAACUCCUGACCUCAGGUGAUCUGCCCGCCUUGGCCUCGGCCUCCCAGAGGCCCAGAUGAGAAGAUGGUCUGGGCACGGUGGCUCACGCCUGUAAUCCCAGCACUUUGGGAGCCGAGGCAGGUGGAUCACGAGGUCAGGAGUUAGCUGCCACACCCAGCCCUGGCUAGUUAUUUCUCAUGGUUCUUUUCAUCUCCAUAUCAUGUCUCACCCAUAUCUGAAAUCUGUGUCUAGACCACAGUAGGUGCUUAAUAAAUGUUUACUGCAUAAUUACAUCCUUCUCUGUCUUGCAUCUCUCUUGCUACUGGAACUGACCAAGAGGGAAAUUAGGCUCAGGGGAUUUUACAGGUGGGGCAGGGUAGCCGGGUAAUCCCUUAUCCCCUCACCCCUCCCGGGGACCAGGCAGGAGGGAGGGCCAUUGAUUGGGAAACAUCUCGGCUCCUGGCGGCAACUGGAGGGAUUCAGGACACCUGCUCGGAGCAGCCACCAGGGGGCAGCAGACACUGCAAAAAUGGAAGAGGGCUUUGAAACCGGAGUCCAGGGUCUCAGUCAGUCUACGCUGUGCUGGGUGUGAGGAUGGAACUCGGUCCCUGGCUGCAAGAAGCCCCCACAGCAGACGGAGGGACAGCCACACCAGCAGAGUCGUUUGUGACAGCGCAGAACUGCAACAGGGAGGUUCACCUAAUUAACACCCACUGGACUGCAAACUCGACAAGGCAAGGCCAGACUGCAUGUUUUUGCACUCCCUUCCACCCCUACCCUGCUGGAAUUCUUCUACCUACCAUGAAGUAUGACCCACAGUCCAACCCAACAAAGAUCUGCUGAUGGAAGAAACGGGGCAAUGCCUGUACAUGGGGCCUUCAGGUCCGGCUGGAACAAGGCGGCUUCCCUGUUUUACUCUGCUGUGGCCUGUUUGUUUAGGUGGCAGGGGCUUGGACAAUGGGCGUCCAUGCCGAGGUAAGCAGGUGCGCGGGAAGGCGGCGGUGGCUUUCAUCUGCCGGCAGCCCCCACGCCCCGUCAUUAGGCAGGGCCUGCGCAGCAGGGUAUGCCAUUAUGUCUCCCCGGGCUGAUGUAAUUAUACAUUGACAUAAUUAACCCAGCAAGCGCAUUAGGCAGGCCAGCUAAAAAUUCAUCUAUAAUUAUUUGUUGUGUGCAUGCUAAUGAGUCCAUCUGCACUGCCUUUGUACAACACGAACAAAUUAAUUUACAAGUCUGGAUUUUUUAAUAAGUUCAAGGAAACGCUUCCUAUUGUGUCCCGGUUUUUGAGACAGGAGGAAAAAAGGCAACGAGCACUCGCCGGGGUCAGGGAAGUUAGACAAACACAAGACGGUGCGGUGCCACGCGGACUGCGCAGGGCCACGGAGGGCUUGCUCCGGUUCCAAGGAGGGGGAGGAUCCGGCUCGUGGCCCAGGGGCCCUGCUGGCCAUGAGCCCAUUGAGCCAAACGACUAUACUUGGUGAUAAAGGAUGUCUGUCACUCACCCUGUUCGCAGGGAUUAGAUACAAUGGAGCUGUCAAUUAAGAUGCCCCGCCUUCCCCUGGCAGAGGGUCAGAUGCUCUGCCCUGGGAAUUUGAAUGAAUCCCUCAGCCGGCCCAGCUACUCACUGCUCUGGUCCCAUCUGACCCAGGUGGUCUCACCAUUCUCCCCCACCUUCU